Molecule: ribosomal RNA, 253 nt
Filed under: uncultured bacterium
Lineage: Bacteria
Description: partial 16S ribosomal RNA
Rfam family: Bacterial small subunit ribosomal RNA
Source: RNAcentral
GACAGAGGGUGCAAACGUUGCUCGGAAUUACUGGGCGUAAAGCGCGUGUAGGCGGGCCGAUAAGUCAGGCGUGAAAUCCCCGAGCUCAACUCGGGAACUGCACCUGAAACUGUCGGCCUAGAGUGAUGGAGAGGGUAGCGGAAUUCCUGGUGUAGAAGUGAAAUUCGUAGAUAUCAGGAGGAACACCGGUGGCGAAGGCGACUACCUGGACAUUAACUGACGCUGAGACGCGAAAGCGUGGGGAGCAAACAGG